UCUCCGUUGGUGAACCAGCGGAGGGAUCAUUAGCGAGUUCACAAGUGACUCCCAACCCGUGCCAACUUACCGCGCCCUGGUCUCCAGGGCGCACCGUUGCCUCCUGGCGGGCGCCGUCGGCACCUUGCGGUGCGGGCGUGCCUGCCGGGGGCGCACCGAACCUUCUUUUGCAGUAUUAUACCGUCUGAGAAAAACCACAGAAUCGUAAAAACUUUCAACAACGGAUCUCUUGGUUCUGGCAUCGAUGAAGAACGCAGCGAACUGCGAUAAGUAAUGCGAAUUGCAGAAUUCAGCGAGCCAUCGAAUCUUUGAACGCACAUUGCGCCCGCCAGUAUUCUGGCGGGCAUGCCUGUCCGAGCGUCAUUUCCUCCCUCACGCGGCCUUUCGCGUGGUGUUGGGGCGAUCUGCGACCGGUCGCUGCAGCGAUGCGGCGUCCGGCGCAGCCUCUCAAAGCAAGUGGCGGGCCGGCAGCGGUCUCCGAGCGCAGUAAGCAUUUUUGCCUCUCGCUCUGGACGAUGCUGCCUGCGCCCUGCCCCCAAUGCAGACGCAAGUCUAUCUCAAAGGUUGACCUCGGAUCAGGUAGGAUUACCCGCUGAACUUAA
RNAcentral lists this small RNA (602 nucleotides) under Leptographium davidsonii. RNAcentral's name for it is "eukaryotic LSU rRNA". The stretch from base 210 to 363 matches the Rfam family "5.8S ribosomal RNA". The record is from RNAcentral. Lineage: Eukaryota; Fungi; Ascomycota; Sordariomycetes; Ophiostomatales; Ophiostomataceae.